Molecule: long non-coding RNA, 3849 nt
Filed under: Sus scrofa (pig)
Lineage: Eukaryota; Metazoa; Chordata; Mammalia; Artiodactyla; Suidae
Description: lncRNA (ENSSSCG00065041543.1)
Source: RNAcentral
UGCUGCAAUCUCAUGGUAAAAUGUUGACAGAUGAAUUGUUUACUAUAAAUAAGCAAAGAAAAUGGUUUCUUGAGAUGUAAUUUACUCUUGGCAAAGAUGAUGUGAAGAUUGUUGAAAUGACAAUAGGGAAUUUAAAAUAUUACACAACUUAGUUGAUAAAGCAGUGGCAGGGUUUGAGAGGACUGACUCUAGUUUUGAAAGUUCUACUGUAGGUAACAAAGUUUUGAACAACAUUGCUUGCUACACAGAAAUUGUCCGUGAAAGGAAAAAGUAAUCUAUGUGGCAAACGUAAUUGCUGUCUUAUGUUAAGAAAUUGCUACAGCCACCCCAGACUUGAGCAACUACCACUCUAAUCAGUCAGCAGCCAUCAGCCUCAAGGCAAGACCCUCCAUCAGCAAAAAAAAUUAUGACUUGCUGAAGGCUCAGAUGAUGGUUAGCACUUUUUAACAAUAAAAUUAAGGUGGGUACUUUUUUAAAGAUAUAAUACUAUUACAUACUUAAUAGACUACAAUAUAGUAUAAAGCAUAAUGUAUAUGUGUACUGGGAAACUAAAAAUUUUUGUAACUCAAUUUGUUUUGAUAUUCACUUUAUUAUGGUAGUCUAGAACUGAGCCUGCAAUAUCUCUGAGAUAUGCCUAUACACAGGAAUAGAGUUAUUUUGGCAUGGGGUAGAUAUAUUUUCAGUUUUAUAAGAAACCAUGAGACUUUUUUUUUUCCAGAAGCAGUUGUACCAUUUUACUCUUACCAACAAAUAUAUAUGACUUCUAGUUACUGCAAAUUUAGCCUUUGGUAGAUGUGUAGUGGCAUCUAAUCAUGGUGGUUUAAUAUGAUUUUCCUAAUGACUGUAAUUUUGAGUAUCUUUUCAUGUGGUUACUGGCAUUUGUGAGUGUUAAAAUUCCUUGCCCAUUUUUAAAUUGUCUUUUUUAUUAUUGAAUUGUAUUUUUACAAAUGUAUUUUUAUUUUUUCAUGCUUCCUCUUACAUUGUAAGCAUUUCAUAUAUUAAAUUAUUUCUCUCUCCAAAACCCUGGUGAAUUAGGUCUUAUUAUGUCCAUUUUAGGUAUGAGUAAGCUCAGGUCUAUGUUGCUUAAGUGAGUUACCCAUAGUCUCAUAAGUAAUGAAUGAUGGGACUCUGAUAUAGGGGUGGCUAGCAGUAAAAUCUUAUGUACUUAACUACUACCUUAUACAAUAAAGAAUCAAUAGUAUGGGCUUUCAUGUGAGAAAAGGGUCUUUGUGGGCUGAGAUGUCUAAAAUAAUAAGUAGAAAUGCUGGAUUUUGAUGAAUAAGUUUUAGAUAGCCAUCUAUUAAGUUGUGGUGGUGUGGGGUAGGCUACAGAUAUUUAUUAAAAUUCCUGCAUGAAAAAGAGAUAUACUUACUUGGAGUAAUAACAAAGAGAUAGAUCAGGAAUUGACCUUGAAGUUCUAAAGAUUAUUUGAGACCAGAAACUAUAACAAAUCAUUUUCAAGAUGCUUCAGUGCAUUAACAAUUUAUAAGAAAGAAAAUUUUCUUCUCUAUUCUUUAAGUGUGACCCUACAUUCUCUACUGCUAAAAUAGUUUGGCUUCCACAACUGUGAAUUAAUAAAGUAUUGAUUUUACUUAUACUUUUAUUUAAUGGGCAUUAAAAAAAAUUGGGUACCACUGUUCUUGAAAUAAGUUGAGUCCAGUUUAGAACCACAGGAUGUUUUAACUUGAGAAAUUAGGACAACUUCAGCUAUUAUAGAACAGUAAGCAUGAUAGGGCAUUUAAGUUAGCUUAGCUCUGUGGCUGAACUCCUGAGAGAGAUUCUAGGAGAUUCAAAGUCUUGUCAGAAGUGCAGGGAAGAGAGUCAUAUAAAUGUAUAAAGUUCUGUGGAUUUAGUGGCCUAUAAACAAUGUUACUUUCUUCCCUGUACAAUUAGUGAUAGCCCUCUAUUCCCAUUUUAAAGCAUGGUGAGAAUUUCUCCUUUGGUAGUUCUGCUUUGAAGGUACCCGUCUGAUUGGUAGUUCAUCCUCUGAAGUAGUAAGUAGUUUAAUUUAAGACAAAUGCAGCUUAAGUCUUCUGUUUAUAUGAAUGAAACUAAUUUCACAUAAAUUAAUACAUUCUUUUUAUUCUAUUCAACCCUUUGUGACACUUCAGGGCUUGGAUUUUUUUUUGUGAAUCUAUGUCUCCUUUUACUAAGCCUAUGAUUCUUUCACUGCUUGCUCCUUGAGUGCAUAUCCUGUGAAGCUAUGUGUGUGCUGAGAAGACUGGAGUUCAGCUUAGGGAUAAUUGACAGAGUGGAGGCCUUGUUUGGGCUCUGAGCCUUGUGAUUUUAAAGUAAAGUGAUUAGAGGAAUGAAGUAUAAGGGAAGAACGGGUGUCAUACAUCAGUUAAGAAUAACAUCACCCAUUUCUUUUGUUUCUGGCUGAUGUUAAGUUGGUAAGCAGAUGAAGCUGCCUGUCCCUGUCCCUCUGUGUGUAUUCUCAUUGGUGUUUAUAUAAUAUUGCAGUUAAAGUCCACUAGACUGCAUUGUUUGGAGAUUAAACCCAAUUGAUUGAAUUUCCUAUGAUGGGUGUUUUAAGGGAAUUCAUAUAUCUGAACUUGAGUGAAGUCCAUUUGAACACUGGUUCAAGUUUUUGCUUAUUUUCAAAUUUCUACAGAUAGGACCUUAAAACGCCGUGGGCCUUCAGAAUUUUUCUUUGAUGUUAUCAUCAAGGUAAAUGGCUUCUUUAUGAAUCAGAAUCACAUAUGAAAACUCAAACAAUGGUCGAUUUGUGAACAGAAUCAACACUUAGGCAUUCUGUUGUAUUGACUUUAAUGAAAGUUCAAGCAAGUAAUUUGGCUGCUUACAUUGAGCUAAUAUUCCUUUAGUGACUGAAACUUUCUAUUUCUGGUAUUCACUUUUUAUAUGGAGCACAUUUUUACUGCUUGUAUUAUUCUUUAAGAAGCUUAAGACAGCCCUUAUAAUAAACUUUAAAUGUUCAUCUCCAGAGUUUAUCCAAGAACUAGAAUGAUGAACUUAAUCUCUGCAACUUUGCAAUUAGUGUAUUAACUUAAGUACUAUUUUUGGUAUCUCUCUGCUCUGCAAGUCAGCUGGUUAAUGUGUUUCCUUUUGUAGGAUUUUACCAGAGCAUAGCAAUUGGAACACAAAAUAAACAUUAACAGACUUUUCUUCGUGCUUGCAUUUGGUUAUAAGAAAAACUUUUUUCGUUUGCUGUUUUUAUCCUUUUAAAUUGUGCUCCUUAAAAUGAGUGGAAUGAAGGAUUUUGUACUUUAAAGGAGCAAUGUGUCAAUAUGAAUAGAAGUGCUUAUCCAAAUAGAUUCUCUAGAAGGAUAAUUUUUAAAUUUUGUAGAAGUGUGCACUCUGAAAAAAAGGAGAAAUCAGGUUCUGUAUUUCCAGCUUUUUCUUGACAAAUACUGGUGGUGUAAAUUAUCCAGCUGUUCUUCCUCUGUAUGGAUUUUGUAGUACUCAGAGCGAUUUAUAGGUCUAGAGUGCAGCUGCUGAAAGUCAUUUAUUCUCAGUUCUGUAUUAAAUCCAUCAUAUACAAAUAUAUUAGCAUUCAGUACGGAGCUCAAGGGCUUAAGACAUUUCUUCCCUUCUGAGUAGCUGUCCUGCAAAUGUGUACAGGCAGUACUGAAACAGCAUCCAGAAAUUAUUGGGUUGAUAUAUAUGUUUAGAAGGAUUCCUUUUAUUUUUUUAUUUUAUUUUUUUUAAACUUUCACCAACAAUGAGUAUUAUGUAUAUUUUUAUUUUUGUCAAUUUGGUGAGCGAAAACAGUGGUACAAGUGAGGCUGACAUGAUAAUGUGAGAAAAAAGAAUGAAUACAUGUAUGUGUAACUGGUUCACCAUGCUGUACAGUAGAAAAUUGACAGAACACUGUAAACCAGCUAUAAU